AAUGAACGCUGGCGGCAGGCCUAAAACAUGCAAGUCGAACGCUGUAGCAAUACAGAGUGGCGCACGGGUGAGUAACAUGUGGGAAUAUGCCUUUUGGUACGGAACAACGUUUGGAAACGAACGCUAAUACCGUAUGGUCCCUUCGGGGUAAAGAUUUAUCGCCAAAAGAUUAGCCCGCACUAGAUUAGCUAGUUGGUGAG
Molecule: ribosomal RNA, 200 nt
Filed under: uncultured bacterium
Lineage: Bacteria
Description: partial 16S ribosomal RNA
Rfam family: Bacterial small subunit ribosomal RNA
Source: RNAcentral